Molecule: ribosomal RNA, 347 nt
Filed under: uncultured bacterium
Lineage: Bacteria
Description: bacterial SSU rRNA
Rfam family: Bacterial small subunit ribosomal RNA
Source: RNAcentral
GUACUACUCUCAGAGUUUGAUCCUGGCUCAGGAUGAACGCUAGCGGCAGGCUUAACACAUGCAAGUCGAGGGGCAGCGUGAUGAAGUAGCAAUACUGAUUUGACGGCGACCGGCGCACGGGUGCGUAACGCGUAUGCAACCUACCCAUAACAGGGGGAUAACACUGAGAAAUUGGUACUAAUACCCCAUAACAGUUUAGAAGGCAUCUUCUAGAUUUGAAAGUUCAGGCGGUUAUGGAUGGGCAUGCGUUGUAUUAGCUAGAUGGUGAGGUAACGGCUCACCAUGGCGACGAUACAUAGGGGGACUGAGAGGUUAACCCCCCACACUGGUACUGAGACACGGACCAG